GAGUAGCGAUACAAACGUGAGAAACGUUUGCGCCGAUUGACCAAGGGUUCCUGGGUCAAGCUGAUCUGCCCAGGGUAAGUCGGGACUAAGGCGAGGCCGACAGGCGUAGUCGAUGGAUAACCGGUUGAUAUUCCGGUACCCGCUGUGAAGCGUCAAACAUCGAGCAUCGUGAUGCUAAGGCCGUGAAGCCGCCCUGAUCUCUUCGGAGUUGAGGGGAGUGGUGGAGCCGCCGGUCCAAGCGGUUAGUAGGUGAGUGAUGGGGUGACGCAGGAAGGUAGUCCAUCCCGGGCGGUGGUUGUCCCGGGGUAAGGGUGUAGGCCGUGCGAUAGGUAAAUCCGUCGUGCGUGUGGCUGAGACCUGAUGCCGAGCCGAUUGUGGUGAAGUGGAUGAUCCUAUGCUGUCGAGAAAAGCCUCUAGCGAGUUUCAUGGCGGCCCGUACCCUAAACCGACUCAGGUGGUCUGGUAGAGAAUACCGAGGCGUUCGGGUGAACUAUGGUUAAGGAACUCGGCAAAAUGCCCCCGUAACUUCGGGAGAAGGGGGGCCACACCCGGUGAUGGGUUUUACAUCCUGAGCUGGGGGUGGCCGCAGAGACCAGCGAGAAGCGACUGUUUACUAAAAACACAGGUCCGUGCGAAGCCGUAAGGCGAUGUAUACGGACUGACGCCUGCCCGGUGCUGGAACGUUAAGGGGACCGGUUAGUCAUUCUUCGGGGUGGCGAAGCUGAGAACUUAAGCGCCAGUAAACGGCGGUGGUAACUAUAACCAUCCUAAGGUAGCGAAAUUCCUUGUCGGGUAAGUUCCGACCUGCACGAAUGGCGUAACGACUUCUCGACUGUCUCAACCAUAGGCCCGGUGAAAUUGCACUACGAGUAAAGAUGCUCGUUUCGCGCAGCAGGACGGAAAGACCCCGGGACCUUUACUACAGUUUGAUAUUGGUGUUCGGUUCGGCUUGUGUAGGAUAGCUGGGAGACUGUGAGCAUCGGACGCCAGUUCGGUGGGAGUCGUCGUUGAAAUACCAGUCUGGUCGUGCUGGAUGUCUAACCCGGGUCCGUGAUCCGGAUCGGGGACAGUGUCUGAUGGGUAGUUUAACUGGGGCGGUUGCCUCCCAAAGGGUAACGGAGGCGCCCAAAGGUUCCCUCAGCCUGGUUGGCAAUCAGGUGGUGAGUGUAAGUGCACAAGGGAGCUUGACUGUGAGACCGACGGGUCGAGCAGGGACGAAAGUCGGGACUAGUGAUCCGGCGGUGGCUUGUGGAAGCGCCGUCGCUCAACGGAUAAAAGGUACCCCGGGGAUAACAGGCUGAUCUUCCCCAAGAGUCCAUAUCGACGGGAUGGUUUGGCACCUCGAUGUCGGCUCGUCGCAUCCUGGGGCUGGAGUCGGUCCCAAGGGUUGGGCUGUUCGCCCAUUAAAGCGGUACGCGAGCUGGGUUUAGAACGUCGUGAGACAGUUCGGUCCCUAUCCGCUGUGCGCGUAGGAGUCUUGAGAAGGGCUGUCCCUAGUACGAGAGGACCGGGACGGACGAACCUCUGGUGUGCCAGUUGUUCUGCCAAGGGCAUGGCUGGUUGGCUACGUUCGGGAGGGAUAACCGCUGAAAGCAUCUAAGCGGGAAGCCUGCUUCGAGAUGAGGACUCCCACCCACUUGAUGGGGUAAGGCUCCCAGUAGACGACUGGGUUGAUAGGCCGGAUCUGGAAGCACGGUAACGUGUGGAGGUGACCGGUACUAAUAGGCCGAGGGCUUGUCCUC
This is a ribosomal RNA of Streptomyces ipomoeae 91-03, 1742 nucleotides long. It matches the Rfam family "Bacterial large subunit ribosomal RNA", at positions 1304 to 2925 of the family's 2925-position model. Lineage: Bacteria; Bacillati; Actinomycetota; Actinomycetes; Kitasatosporales; Streptomycetaceae. The record is from Rfam.